AGGGCACGUCUGCCUGGGUGUCAC
This 24-nucleotide ribosomal RNA is filed under the name Fagus engleriana. RNAcentral's name for it is "partial 5.8S ribosomal RNA". Lineage: Eukaryota; Viridiplantae; Streptophyta; Magnoliopsida; Fagales; Fagaceae. The record is from RNAcentral.